Transfer RNA from Lepisosteus oculatus (spotted gar), 83 nucleotides. It matches the Rfam family "tRNA". Rfam says of the family: Transfer RNA (tRNA) molecules are approximately 80 nucleotides in length. NCBI's taxonomy places the organism in Eukaryota, Metazoa, Chordata, Actinopteri, Semionotiformes, Lepisosteidae. The record is from Rfam.
GUCAGGAUGGCCAAGCAGUCUAAGGCGCUGCGUUCAGGUCGCAGUCUCCCCUGGAGGCGUGGGUUCGAAUCCCACUUCUGACA